UGUCAAUGCCAUUCAUAGGCAAUCACUAAGGCACAUUUCCAUGUGGAAUGGCAACUUGGGUGGGUUUAUGGGGUUAGACACCCAGUCCAUUCUAAGUGGGAAAAUAUAUGAGGGAGAUAAAUGGGCUUAUGAUUGAGUUUGAUACACUGUAAGCCUAGGGAUGAUAACGUGUUGGGUAUUUUCGGGUAUUCGGUCUGUUUGAACCCUAUUGGAACAGAUUCGGGUAGUAUAUAAUCAGAUUUGGAAUGAGUUCGGGUUUAGGAAUUAAUACAUGUGUCAGGUUCUGUUUUUAUACGUUGGGUACCUAUUAUCCG
Molecule: unclassified non-coding RNA, 314 nt
Filed under: Hevea brasiliensis (rubber tree)
Lineage: Eukaryota; Viridiplantae; Streptophyta; Magnoliopsida; Malpighiales; Euphorbiaceae
Source: RNAcentral